Molecule: ribosomal RNA, 631 nt
Filed under: Proteus vulgaris
Lineage: Bacteria; Pseudomonadati; Pseudomonadota; Gammaproteobacteria; Enterobacterales; Morganellaceae
Description: bacterial SSU rRNA
Rfam family: Bacterial small subunit ribosomal RNA
Source: RNAcentral
UCUGGAGCUAACGCGUUAAAUCGACCGCCUGGGGAGUACGGCCGCAAGGUUAAAACUCAAAUGAAUUGACGGGGGCCCGCACAAGCGGUGGAGCAUGUGGUUUAAUUCGAUGCAACGCGAAGAACCUUACCUACUCUUGACAUCCAGCGAAUCCUUUAGAGAUAGAGGAGUGCCUUCGGGAACGCUGAGACAGGUGCUGCAUGGCUGUCGUCAGCUCGUGUUGUGAAAUGUUGGGUUAAGUCCCGCAACGAGCGCAACCCUUAUCCUUUGUUGCCAGCGCGUGAUGGCGGGAACUCAAAGGAGACUGCCGGUGAUAAACCGGAGGAAGGUGGGGAUGACGUCAAGUCAUCAUGGCCCUUACGAGUAGGGCUACACACGUGCUACAAUGGCAGAUACAAAGAGAAGCGACCUCGCGAGAGCAAGCGGAACUCAUAAAGUCUGUCGUAGUCCGGAUUGGAGUCUGCAACUCGACUCCAUGAAGUCGGAAUCGCUAGUAAUCGUAGAUCAGAAUGCUACGGUGAAUACGUUCCCGGGCCUUGUACACACCGCCCGUCACACCAUGGGAGUGGGUUGCAAAAGAAGUAGGUAGCUUAACCUUCGGGAGGGCGCUUACCACUUUGUGAUUCAUGAC